UCGUUAACGAACGAGACCUCGACCUGCUAAAUAGUUUGGUGAAUGCUCCGGCAUUUAUUUACGACUUCUUAGAGGGACUAUCGGUGAUUUAGCCGAUGGAAGUUCGAGGCAAUAACAGGUCUGUGAUGCCCUUAGAUGUCCUGGGCCGCACGCGCGCUACACUGAUACGUUCAUCGAGCUUACAACCUUGGUUGAGAGGCCUGGGUAAUCUUUUUAAACCGUAUCGUGCUGGGGAUAGAUUAUUGUAAUUUUUAAUCUUCAACGAGGAAUUCCUAGUAAACGCUGGUCAUCAACCAGCAUUGAUUACGUCCCUGCCCUUUGUACACACCGCCCGUCGCUAAUACCGAUUGAAUGGAUA
Molecule: ribosomal RNA, 358 nt
Filed under: Eukaryota sp.
Lineage: Eukaryota
Description: SSU rRNA
Rfam family: Eukaryotic small subunit ribosomal RNA
Source: RNAcentral